Molecule: ribosomal RNA, 301 nt
Filed under: uncultured bacterium
Lineage: Bacteria
Description: partial 16S ribosomal RNA
Rfam family: Bacterial small subunit ribosomal RNA
Source: RNAcentral
CAGCCGCCACGGGAAUACGAAGGGUGCAAGCGUUACUCGGAAUUACUGGGCGUAAAGCGUGCGUAGGUGGUGGUUUAAGUCCGUUGUGAAAGCCCUGGGCUCAACCUGGGAAUUGCAGUGGAUACUGGGUCACUAGAGUGUGGUAGAGGAUAGUGGAAUUUCCGGUGUAGCAGUGAAAUGCGUAGAGAUCGGAAGGAACAUCUGUGGCGAAGGCGACUAUCUGGGCCAACACUGACACUGAGGCACGAAAGCGUGGGGAGCAAACAGGAUUAGAUACCCCGGUAGUCCCUGUCUCUUAUAC